Molecule: ribosomal RNA, 494 nt
Filed under: uncultured bacterium
Lineage: Bacteria
Description: partial 16S ribosomal RNA
Rfam family: Bacterial small subunit ribosomal RNA
Source: RNAcentral
AUGAACGCUGGCGGCGUGCCUAAUACAUGCAAGUCGAGCGAACGGACGAGAAGCUUGCUUCUCUGAUGUUAGCGGCGGACGGGUGAGUAACACGUGGAUAACCUACCUAUAAGACUGGGAUAACUUCGGGAAACCGUAGCUAAUACCGGAUAAUAUUUUGAACCGCAUGGUUCAAAAGUGAAAGACGGUCUUGCUGUCACUUAUAGAUGGAUCCGCGCUGCAUUAGCUAGUUGGUAAGGUAACGGCUUACCAAGGCAACGAUGCAUAGCCGACCUGAGAGGGUGAUCGGCCACACUGGAACUGAGACACGGUCCAGACUCCUACGGGAGGCAGCAGUAGGGAAUCUUCCGCAAUGGGCGAAAGCCUGACGGAGCAACGCCGCGUGAGUGAUGAAGGUCUUCGGAUCGUAAAACUCUGUUAUUAGGGAAGAACAUAUGUGUAAGUAACUGUGCACAUCUUGACGGUACCUAAUCAGAAAGCCACGGCUAACUACG